AUUCCAGCUCCAAUAGCGUAUAUUAAAGUUGUUGCGGUUAAAAAGCUCGUAGUUGGAUUUCUGCCGAGGAUGACCGGUCCGCCCUGUGGGUGUGCAUCUGGCUCAGCCUUGGCAUCUUCCUGAAGAACGUAGCUGCACUUGACUGUGUGGUGCGGUAUUUAGGACAUUUACUUUGAGGAAAUUAGAGUGUUUCAAGCAAGCGCACGCUUUGAAUACAUUAGCAUGGAAUAAUAAGAUAGGACCUCGGUUCUAUUUUGUUGGUUUCUAGAGCUGAGGUAAUGAUUGAUAGGGAUAGUUGGGGGCAUUCGUAUUUAAUUGACAGAGGUGAAAUUCUUGGAUUAACGGAAGAUGAACUUCUGCGAAAGCAUCUGCCAAGGAUGUUUUCAUUA
Molecule: ribosomal RNA, 389 nt
Filed under: Biecheleria sp.
Lineage: Eukaryota; Dinophyceae; Suessiales; Biecheleriaceae
Description: partial small subunit ribosomal RNA
Rfam family: Eukaryotic small subunit ribosomal RNA
Source: RNAcentral